This 1065-nucleotide ribosomal RNA is filed under the name Aspergillus terreus. RNAcentral describes it as "SSU rRNA". It matches the Rfam family "Eukaryotic small subunit ribosomal RNA", at positions 69 to 1163 of the family's 1831-position model. Lineage: Eukaryota; Fungi; Ascomycota; Eurotiomycetes; Eurotiales; Aspergillaceae. The record is from RNAcentral.
GCACUUUAUACUGUGAAACUGCGAAUGGCUCAUUAAAUCAGUUAUCGUUUAUUUGAUAGUACCUUACUACAUGGAUACCUGUGGUAAUUCUAGAGCUAAUACAUGCUAAAAACCCCGACUUCGGAAGGGGUGUAUUUAUUAGAUAAAAAACCAAUGCCCUUCGGGGCUCCUUGGUGAUUCAUAAUAACUUAACGAAUCGCAGGCCUUGCGCCGGCAUGGUUCAUUCAAAUUUCUGCCCUAUCAACUUUCGAUGGUAGGAUAGUGGCCUACCAUGGUGGCAACGGGUAACGGGGAAUUAGGGUUCGAUUCCGGAGAGGGAGCCUGAGAAACGGCUACCACAUCCAAGGAAGGCAGCAGGCGCGCAAAUUACCCAAUCCCGACACGGGGAGGUAGUGACAAUAAAUACUGAUACGGGGCUCUUUCGGGUCUCGUAAUUGGAAUGAGUACAAUCUAAAUCCCUUAACGAGGAACAAUUGGAGGGCAAGUCUGGUGCCAGCAGCCGCGGUAAUUCCAGCUCCAAUAGCGUAUAUUAAAGUUGUUGCAGUUAAAAAGCUCGUAGUUGAACCUUGGGUCUGGCUGGCCGGUCCGCCUCACCGCGAGUACUGGUCCGGCUGGACCUUUCCUUCUGGGGAAUCCCAUGGCCUUCACUGGCUGUGGGGGGAACCAGGACUUUUACUGUGAAAAAAUUAGAGUGUUCAAAGCAGGCCUUUGCUCGAAUACAUUAGCAUGGAAUAAUAGAAUAGGACGUGCGGUUCUAUUUUGUUGGUUUCUAGGACCGCCGUAAUGAUUAAUAGGGAUAGUCGGGGGCGUCAGUAUUCAGCUGUCAGAGGUGAAAUUCUUGGAUUUGCUGAAGACUAACUACUGCGAAAGCAUUCGCCAAGGAUGUUUUCAUUAAUCAGGGAACGAAAGUUAGGGGAUCGAAGACGAUCAGAUACCGUCGUAGUCUUAACCAUAAACUAUGCCGACUAGGGAUCGGGCGGUGUUUCUAUGAUGACCCGCUCGGCACCUUACGAGAAAUCAAAGUUUUUUGGGGGGGGUAAGGUGAACUUAAAAAUUGACGGAAGG